CUCAAAUUUGAAAGCUGGCUCUCGGGCCCGCAUUGUAAUUUGCAGAGGAUGCUUCUGGCGACGCGCCUUCCGAGUUCCCUGGAACGGGACGCCAUAGAGGGUGAGAGCCCCGUCCGGUCGUGCGCCUAGCCUCUGUGAAGCUCCUUCGACGAGUCGAGUAGUUUGGGAAUGCUGCUCAAAAUGGGAGGUAUACGUCUUCUAAAGCUAAAUACCGGCCAGAGACCGAUAGCGCACAAGUAGAGUGAUCGAAAGAUGAAAAGCACUUUGAAAAGAGAGUUAAAAAGUACGUGAAAUUGUUGAAAGGGAAGCGCUCAUGACCAGACUUGGGCUGGCCCGAUCAUCCGGCGUUCUCGCCGGUGCACUCGGGCCGCCCAGGCCAGCAUCAGCUUUCGCCGGGGGAUAAAGGCGGCGGGAAUGUGGCUCCCUCGGGAGUGUUAUAGCCCGCCGUGCAAUACCCUGGUGGGGGCUGAGGUUCGCGCGUAUGCACGGAUGCUGGCGUAAUGGUUAUCAGCGACCCGUCUUG
RNAcentral lists this ribosomal RNA (523 nucleotides) under Trichothecium roseum. Its description in RNAcentral is "LSU rRNA". It matches the Rfam family "Eukaryotic large subunit ribosomal RNA", at positions 108 to 656 of the family's 3401-position model. The record is from RNAcentral. Lineage: Eukaryota; Fungi; Ascomycota; Sordariomycetes; Hypocreales.